RNAcentral lists this ribosomal RNA (253 nucleotides) under uncultured bacterium. RNAcentral's name for it is "partial 16S ribosomal RNA". It matches the Rfam family "Bacterial small subunit ribosomal RNA", at positions 524 to 776 of the family's 1533-position model. The record is from RNAcentral.
GACAGAAGGGACGAGCGUUACUCAUAUUUACUGGGCGUCAAGGGUAUGUAGGUGGUUUAUUAUGUUUUGUACUAAAGGCUAUGGAUAAUCCCGUAAGUCGGUACAUUUUACAGUUAAACUAGAGUUUAGUGUGGGUUUGGAGUACUCUCUGUGUAGUAUUAAAAUGCGAAAAUAUAGAGAUGACUGCCGAUGAUGAAGAUACCAUUCUUAGCUAGACUGACACUGAGGUACGGAAGUUUGGGUAUCGAACGGG